RNAcentral lists this long non-coding RNA (597 nucleotides) under Vigna radiata. Its description in RNAcentral is "long non-coding RNA (VRAD_LNC008809)". The record is from RNAcentral. Lineage: Eukaryota; Viridiplantae; Streptophyta; Magnoliopsida; Fabales; Fabaceae.
GAUGAAACACUCUUAAGUAAAACAGUGUGGUUUGGAAUUGGGCUGCACAUGGUAAUAAGCUGCAGAUGCAUUUUUGCUAGUUGGAUUAGAAGUGAAACUGGAUUCAAAAUUAGUGAUACGCAGUGUUUCAAGAGCAGCUUUUGGGGGUCUUCACUCCAUCACUUCGUUUAGAGGCAGGAACACAUAUGAGCCGAGAGAGCAUUUGAAGAAAGAAAACCCUCUAGGGCUUGGUUCCAGAGCGCGCGAGAGAAAUAAAACUUCAAUGGCUUUUGAUGGUGACCCUGACCGGUGGAGAUGACGGAGAAGCUGCCCGUUCAAGUUAAUCAAAGGGUAGAGAGGAGAGGAAUCUGAGCAAACCAAAUGGGGACCGUCUGAUGGGAGAAGCAUUCAAGUGAAGCAAGGUUCCCUUCUUCCGUUUAUUUUUUUUUUCAUUUUCUUUUUCUUAGAGACCCUAUAUAAAGGGGCUUUUAUCUUGUAAAAAAGGACUUCCACAAACUUUUACAGAGAUACACUUAGAUACUUUUGAGUUUGUGUUUUUUCUAGAAUAGAUAGAGCGAACGCGAUUUCUAGGGUUUCAUCGCAUUUUUCGGUAAACUC